Molecule: long non-coding RNA, 553 nt
Organism: Scylla paramamosain (green mud crab)
Lineage: Eukaryota; Metazoa; Arthropoda; Malacostraca; Decapoda; Portunidae
Exons: 3
Source: RefSeq, a predicted model, not a curated record
CACCACCACCACCACCACCACCACCACCACCACCACCACCACCACAGCACUCAGCGUGGCACAGAAGGAACAGAGCCAGGCGGAAAACAAGGACUAAGAUCCACUGCCACUUCCAAAUAAGGCUACCACCACCAUGACCACCAUGACCACCACCACCACCAUGACCACCGCCACCACCACCACCACCACCACCACCACCACCACCACCACCACCACCACCACCACCACCACCACCACCACCACCACAGCACUCAGCGUGGCACAGAAGGAACAGAGCCAGGCGGAAAACAAGGACUAAGAUCCACUGCCACUUCCAAAUAAGACACCAGGAGGAGAGACAAUUCCGUGCAGUUUGUCAGUGAAGUAUUACAAAGGUGAGUUUUUAUGGCUACUGCAGUGAGAAGCUUUUUAUGGGAUGUCAAAUACUUUCUGGGGUGUGUGUGUGUGUGUGUGUGUGUGUGUGUGUGUGUGUGUGUGUGUGUGUGUGUGUGUGUGUGUUUGUUUUUUGUUUAAUAUUUUUUUCUUUCUUUUCUCAUCCCCUGGCUACUGCUGC